GACCACUGAAAUGUAAGUUUUGCAUGUCGUGGGUGAGUAGUUGGGCCAUCUAAUCUGUCUCUCUCUCUCUCUUACUCUGCCAUGUAAUUUCUCUUUCUAAAUCACCUACUCAGGACAAAAAUAAUUAAGAGAAAAUGAAUGGCAUUCCUGUGAAACCAACUCCCACAUGGUCCAGACACCACCUUUAACAAGUGGGAAUAUACCCUCAACUAUGAUGGGCUCCUCUUCGCUGCCAGGGCAACCUUAUGCUGCACAGCCUACUCAUUCUCUCUCUCUCUCUUUCUUGGUGUGUGUAUUGAAAGGAAAGGAUGGAGGCUUUUCGAGUGGUUCUCACGUUGGUUGUGCUGAUAGCUGUUUGUGAAUGUGGGGUGACGGGCAUGGAAUCCGAGGCCGGCCGAGGUAUUUUACAUCACCAGAAAAA
Molecule: long non-coding RNA, 421 nt
Filed under: Amborella trichopoda
Lineage: Eukaryota; Viridiplantae; Streptophyta; Magnoliopsida; Amborellales; Amborellaceae
Description: long non-coding RNA (ATRI_LNC000493)
Source: RNAcentral